RNAcentral lists this ribosomal RNA (499 nucleotides) under uncultured bacterium. Its description in RNAcentral is "partial 16S ribosomal RNA". It matches the Rfam family "Bacterial small subunit ribosomal RNA", at positions 28 to 507 of the family's 1533-position model. The record is from RNAcentral.
GAUGAACGCUGGCGGCGUGCCUAAUACAUGCAAGUCGAGCGAACAGACGAGAGUGCUUGCACUCUCUGACGUUAGCGGCGGACGGGUGAGUAACACGUGGGUAACCUACCUAUAAGACUGGGAUCACUUCGGGAAACCGGAGCUAAUACCGGAUAAUAUUUAGCUUCGCAUGACGCAAUAGUGAAAGACGGUUCUGCUGUCACUUAUAGAUGGACCCGCGGUGUAUUAGCUAGUUGGUGAGGUAACGGCUCACCAAGGCAACGAUACAUAGCCGACCUGAGAGGGUGAUCGGCCACACUGGGACUGAGACACGGCCCAGACUCCUACGGGAGGCAGCAGUAGGGAAUCUUCCGCAAUGGACGAAAGUCUGACGGAGCAAUGCCGCGUGAGUGAAGAAGGUUCUCGGAUCGUAAAACUCUGUUGUAAGGGAAGAACAAUUACGUUAGUAACUGAACGUACCUUGACGGUACCUGACCAGAAAGCCACGGCUAACUACGUG